CGCAUCCUACGGGAGGCAGCAGUAGGGAAUCUUCGGCAAUGGGCGAAAGCCUGACCGAGCAACGCCGCGUGAAUGAAGAAGGCCUUCGGGUUGUAAAAUUCUGUUAUAAGGGAAGAAAGGUGAUAGGAGGAAAUGACUAUCAAUUGACGGUACCUUAUGAGAAAGCCACGGCUAACUACGUGCCAGCAGCCGCGGUAAUACGUAGGUGGCAAGCGUUAUCGGGAAUUAUAGGGCGUAAAGAGGGCGCAGGGGGUUAAUUAAGUCUGAUGUGAAAGCCCACGGCUUAACCGUGGAGGG
RNAcentral lists this ribosomal RNA (297 nucleotides) under uncultured bacterium. Its description in RNAcentral is "partial 16S ribosomal RNA". It matches the Rfam family "Bacterial small subunit ribosomal RNA", at positions 333 to 622 of the family's 1533-position model. The record is from RNAcentral.